Cannabis sativa is the source of this 567-nucleotide long non-coding RNA. RefSeq lists it as uncharacterized. NCBI's taxonomy places the organism in Eukaryota, Viridiplantae, Streptophyta, Magnoliopsida, Rosales, Cannabaceae. The record is from RefSeq and is a predicted model, not a curated record. The transcript has 2 exons.
UUUAGAAGAGAGAUGAUCUAUAUAACGUAAUACAAAAUAUGUAAUAGACUUGUCAAACAUUAAUUUAUCUUAUGUAUUAUUAUAUAUAAUUAAACAUACAGUACACUAUAAUUCCAUUGCCAUAUGAAAUUUCUCUAUCAUAGAGUUGAUAGUUGAAACUUAUUGUGUUACAAAUAUACGAGAGUACAUGGUAUAUGUUUUAUUGCAGUAUAUUAUUCAAAAGUAUUGAAUAAGUCAUAAUAGUAUAAAUAUAUAGAUAUUUAAUAAUAUUUAUAAGGUGGAGGAAAAGUGUUCACAUUCGGACAAUUUUUUGCUUGUGCAAACAAAGCAGAGGAGGUGGUUAAUUGGGUGGGUGAGUUGGCGAUUAAUUAAGUGGAUGAACAAGGUGGUGGAUGUAGAUUAGGUUAACGAGGAGGAGCAGCAGUGGUGAUGAAUUGAAUUAGGGAGGUAGACGUGAAUUAGGACGACGUGGGGGAGAUGAAAUAGGUGGGGGAGGUGGAGGUGAACGAGGGGGAGGUGGAGGGGAUAAAUCGAGUGGUGGAGGUGAAGGUGAACGGGGAGGAGGUG